This 547-nucleotide small RNA is filed under the name Pan troglodytes (chimpanzee). RNAcentral's name for it is "retained intron". Lineage: Eukaryota; Metazoa; Chordata; Mammalia; Primates; Hominidae. The record is from RNAcentral.
GAAAGUCACGGCGUCUGCGUUUGCAAUGCAUGCUGGUCCGUGUAGUUCUCAGCCUGACACCGUCGUUCCCAGAACCCAGCGCGCUCUAUACAGCCUGCAAGAUGGUCCGCUGGCUGUCUGCCAAGCUCGGCCCCACAGUGGCCUCUCGCCACGUGGCCCGGAACCUGCUCCGCCUGCUGACGUCUUGUUAUGUUGGUAAGGAGGCCUGCGGUCAGUGCUGGAGAUGAGCCUUUCUCCCAGGCCCUCUGCCUAGCUUCAGCCCUCUCCGGCGGGGAUCCUUCCCACCCCUCCCUCAAACCACCCCCCGGCCAGGUGCUGGGUCCCAGUCUGUAAGUGCCAGCCUUGGGUAGGGCCAGACUGGACCCCCAGCUAGAGUGAGCUCAAGCGGCCAGCACAGCCCUGCAGGGCCAGGCUACCCCUGGCCCUCCACUGGCGACUCAGGACUGCUCGCCCUUCCGUGGCAGGACCCACUCGGCAGCAGUUCACAGUGAGCAGUGGCGAGAGCCCACCACUGAGUGCCGGCAACAUCUACCAGAAGAGGCCGGUC